RNAcentral lists this transfer RNA (87 nucleotides) under Actinomycetota bacterium. RNAcentral describes it as "tRNA-Leu". It matches the Rfam family "tRNA". Rfam says of the family: Transfer RNA (tRNA) molecules are approximately 80 nucleotides in length. Their secondary structure includes four short double-helical elements and three loops (D, anti-codon, and T loops). Further hydrogen bonds mediate the characteristic L-shaped molecular structure. tRNAs have two regions of fundamental functional importance: the anti-codon, which is responsible for specific mRNA codon recognition, and the 3' end, to which the tRNAs corresponding amino acid is attached (by aminoacyl-tRNA synthetases). tRNAs cope with the degeneracy of the genetic code in two manners: having more than one tRNA (with a specific anti-codon) for a particular amino acid; and 'wobble' base-pairing, i.e. permitting non-standard base-pairing at the 3rd anti-codon position. The record is from RNAcentral. Lineage: Bacteria; Bacillati; Actinomycetota.
GCCGGAGUGGCGGAACGGGUAGACGCGCUGGUCUCAAAAACCAGUGGGGGAGACCCCGUGCCGGUUCGAGUCCGGCCUCCGGCACCA